RNAcentral lists this ribosomal RNA (292 nucleotides) under uncultured bacterium. RNAcentral describes it as "partial 16S ribosomal RNA". It matches the Rfam family "Bacterial small subunit ribosomal RNA", at positions 28 to 317 of the family's 1533-position model. The record is from RNAcentral.
GAUGAACGCUAGCGGCAGGCCUAAUACAUGCAAGCCGAACGGUAAUUCUGAUAGCAAUAUUGGAACUAGAGUGGCGUAAGGGUGCGUAACACGUAUGCAAUCUACCCGCAACAGGAGGAUAGCUCCCCGAAAGGGGAAUUAACCCUCCAUGAGAUCACACGAGGGCAUCCGAGAGUGAUUAAAUUUGAGGAGGUUGUGGAUGAGCAUGCGACUGAUUAGCUAGUUGGCAGUGUAACGGACUACCAAGGCGAUGAUCAGUAGGGGAACUGAGAGGUUGAUCCCCCACACUGGC